GAUGAACGCUAGCUACAGGCUUAACACAUGCAAGUCGAGGGACCGGCGCCCGGGCGAGUAACACGUAUCCAACCUGCCCUUUACUCGGGGAUAGCCUUUCGACAGAAAGAUUAAUACCCGAUAUAAAGGAUGGGGAUGCGUUCCAUUAGGUUGUUGGUAAGGUAACGGCUCACCAAGCCUUCGAUGGAUAGGGGUUCUGGGAGGAAGGUCCCCCAGAUUGGAACUGAGACACGAUCCAAACUCCAAGCAGAGGCAGCAGUGAGGAAUAUAGGUCAAUGGGCACUAGCCGGAAACGGCCAAGUAGCGUGAAGGAUGAAGGCUUGUGGGUCGUAAACUACUUUUAUAUAAGGAUCUGUAUUAUAUGAAUAAGGCACGGCUAACUCCGUGCCAACAGCGGCGGUAAUAC
This 406-nucleotide ribosomal RNA is filed under the name uncultured bacterium. Its description in RNAcentral is "partial 16S ribosomal RNA". It matches the Rfam family "Bacterial small subunit ribosomal RNA", at positions 28 to 526 of the family's 1533-position model. The record is from RNAcentral.